UCAGAUUGAACGCUGGCGGCAGGCCUAACACAUGCAAGUCGAGCGGUAGAGAGGUGCUGCACCUCUGAGAGCGGCGGACGGGUGAGUAAUGCCUAGGAAUCUGCCUGGUAGUGGGGGGAUAACGUUCGGAAACGGACGCUAAUACCGCAUACGUCCUACGGGAGAAAGCAGGGGACCUUCGGGCCUUGCGCUAUCAGAUGAGCCUAGGUCGGAUUAGCUAGUUGGUGAGGUAAUGGCUCACCAAGGCGACGAUCCGUAACUGGUCUGAGAGGAUGAUCAGUCACACUGGAACUGAGACACGGUCCAGACUCCUACGGGAGGCAGCAGUGGGGAAUAUUGGACAAUGGGCGAAAGCCUGAUCCAGCCAUGCCGCGUGUGUGAAGAAGGUCUUCGGAUUGUAAAGCACUUUAAGUUGGGAGGAAGGGCAGUAACCUAAUACGUUGCUGUCUUGACGUUACCGACAGAAUAAGCACCGGCUAACUUCGUGCCAGCCGCUGC
This 498-nucleotide ribosomal RNA is filed under the name uncultured bacterium. RNAcentral's name for it is "bacterial SSU rRNA". It matches the Rfam family "Bacterial small subunit ribosomal RNA", at positions 24 to 518 of the family's 1533-position model. The record is from RNAcentral.